Molecule: ribosomal RNA, 624 nt
Filed under: Sphingomonas parapaucimobilis
Lineage: Bacteria; Pseudomonadati; Pseudomonadota; Alphaproteobacteria; Sphingomonadales; Sphingomonadaceae
Description: bacterial SSU rRNA
Rfam family: Bacterial small subunit ribosomal RNA
Source: RNAcentral
GGCCUUAGUGGCGCACGGGUGCGUAACGCGUGGGAAUCUGCCCUUUGGUUCGGAAUAACAGCUGGAAACGGCUGCUAAUACCGGAUGAUGACGAGAGUCCAAAGAUUUAUCGCCAGAGGAUGAGCCCGCGUUGGAUUAGGUAGUUGGUGGGGUAAAGGCCUACCAAGCCGACGAUCCAUAGCUGGUCUGAGAGGAUGAUCAGCCACACUGGGACUGAGACACGGCCCAGACUCCUACGGGAGGCAGCAGUGGGGAAUAUUGGACAAUGGGCGCAAGCCUGAUCCAGCAAUGCCGCGUGAGUGAUGAAGGCCCUAGGGUUGUAAAGCUCUUUUACCCGGGAAGAUAAUGACUGUACCGGGAGAAUAAGCCCCGGCUAACUCCGUGCCAGCAGCCGCGGUAAUACGGAGGGGGCUAGCGUUGUUCGGAAUUACUGGGCGUAAAGCGCACGUAGGCGGCUUUGUAAGUCAGAGGUGAAAGCCUGGAGCUCAACUCCAGAACUGCCUUUGAGACUGCAUCGCUUGAAUCCAGGAGAGGUCAGUGGAAUUCCGAGUGUAGAGGUGAAAUUCGUAGAUAUUCGGAAGAACACCAGUGGCGAAGGCGGCUGACUGGACUGGUAUUGACGCU